GGAAGGUGGAUAUGUUAAUAGCAUAUCAUUUGACGUUAGCUGCAGAAGAAGCACCGGCUAACUCCGUGCCAGCAGCCGCGGUAAUACGGAGGGUGCGAGACGUUAAGUCGGAAUUACGUGGGACGUAAAGCGCAUGCAGGUGGUUUAGUUAAGUCAGAUGUAGAAACGGCCCGGGGCUACAACCGUACGGUAAUUGCUAUUUAGAAACGUGGACAAACUAGAGUACUGUAGAGGGGGUAGAAUUUCAGGUGUAGCGGUGAAAUGCGUAGAGAUCUGAAGGAAUACCGGUGGCGAAGGCGGCCCCCUGGACAGAUACUGACACUCAGAUGCGAAAGCGUGGGGAGCAAACAGGAUUAGAUACCCUGGUAG
RNAcentral lists this ribosomal RNA (369 nucleotides) under uncultured bacterium. Its description in RNAcentral is "bacterial SSU rRNA". It matches the Rfam family "Bacterial small subunit ribosomal RNA", at positions 446 to 793 of the family's 1533-position model. The record is from RNAcentral.